This 235-nucleotide ribosomal RNA is filed under the name uncultured bacterium. Its description in RNAcentral is "partial 16S ribosomal RNA". It matches the Rfam family "Bacterial small subunit ribosomal RNA", at positions 96 to 334 of the family's 1533-position model. The record is from RNAcentral.
UGGCGGACGGGUGAGUAAUGUCUGGGAAACUGCCUGAUAGAGGGGGAUAACUACUGGAAACGGUAGCUAAUACCGCAUAACGUCGCAAGACCAAAGAGGGGGACCUUCGGGCCUCUUGCCAUCGGAUGUGCCCAGAUGGGAUUAGCUAGUAGGUGGGGUAAAGGCUCACCUAGGCGACGAUCCCUAGCUGGUCUGAGAGGAUGACCAGCCACACUGGAACUGAGACACGGUCCAG